This 403-nucleotide unclassified non-coding RNA is filed under the name fungal sp. RNAcentral's name for it is "partial internal transcribed spacer region". The stretch from base 1 to 46 matches the Rfam family "Eukaryotic small subunit ribosomal RNA", at positions 1786 to 1831 of the family's 1831-position model. Lineage: Eukaryota; Fungi. The record is from RNAcentral.
AAGUCGUAACAAGGUUUCCGUAGGUGAACCUGCGGAAGGAUCAUUAACACGUAUCCACGUAUCAACCAACCGAGAACUCGUUUUCAAUAUCUCCCUCGUAAGGAUCAUGAGUGGGCCAGUCCUCAAGAAAUGUUUGGGCUCCUCGGAGCGCUUGGGACACCGCAUAAUUGCGUGACGCUUAAACAACAAGCCACGACCACUGAAUUUCACCAGAGGCCCCCUUUCUUUACUGCCAGGUGAUCCAACCUCUGCCGAGCAGUUUAGAAUACUUACAAAACACGAUACACACCACUUUUUUGCUAGUUGACUUUUCUCUGUGCGGUCUGUCCGAAAGGAACGGCUCACACGUUUGAUUAUUUGAACGUUAAAAAUACAACUCUUAGCAAUGGAUAUCUUGGUUCUC